UACGUAGGGGGCUAGCGUUGUCCGGAAUCACUGGGCGUAAAGCGCACGUAGGCGGCUUGUUAAGUCAGGGGUGAAAUCCUGGAGCUCAACUCCAGAACUGCCUUUGAUACUGGCGAGCUUGAGUCCGGGAGAGGUGAGUGGAACUGCGAGUGUAGAGGUGAAAUUCGUAGAUAUUCGCAAGAACACCAGUGGCGAAGGCGGCUCACUGGCUCGUAACUGACGCUGAGGCACGAAAGCGUGGGGAGCAAACAGG
This 253-nucleotide ribosomal RNA is filed under the name uncultured bacterium. Its description in RNAcentral is "partial 16S ribosomal RNA". It matches the Rfam family "Bacterial small subunit ribosomal RNA", at positions 524 to 776 of the family's 1533-position model. The record is from RNAcentral.